Molecule: ribosomal RNA, 54 nt
Filed under: Symbiodinium sp. ex Stylophora pistillata
Lineage: Eukaryota; Dinophyceae; Suessiales; Symbiodiniaceae
Description: partial 18S ribosomal RNA
Rfam family: Eukaryotic small subunit ribosomal RNA
Source: RNAcentral
GAAGGAGAAGUCGUAACGGGGUUUCCGUAGGUGAACCUGCGGAAGGAUCAUUCG